GACUUAGUGGUCCAGUGGUAAAGCGUUUGUCGCGGAGUCAGAGGGUCCUGGAUUUGAUUCCCGACGGAGUCG
RNAcentral lists this transfer RNA (72 nucleotides) under Schistosoma japonicum. RNAcentral's name for it is "tRNA-Pro". The record is from RNAcentral. Lineage: Eukaryota; Metazoa; Platyhelminthes; Trematoda; Strigeidida; Schistosomatidae.